This 228-nucleotide ribosomal RNA is filed under the name uncultured bacterium. RNAcentral describes it as "partial 16S ribosomal RNA". It matches the Rfam family "Bacterial small subunit ribosomal RNA", at positions 568 to 795 of the family's 1533-position model. The record is from RNAcentral.
UGCGCAGGCGGAAUGAUAAGUCAGUGGUGAAAUCCUACGGCCUAACCGUAGAACUGCCAUUGAUACUGUCAUUCUUGAGUACAUAUGAAGUGGGCGGAAUGUGUCAUGUAGCGGUGAAAUGCAUAGAUAUGACACAGAACACCGAUAGCGAAGGCAGCUCACUAAAUUGUAACUGACGCUCAUGCACGAAAGCGUGGGGAGCAAACAGGAUUAGAUACCCUGGUAGUC